UACGGAGGGUGCGAGCGUUGUCCGGAAUCAUUGGGCGUAAAGGGCGCGUAGGUGGCGGGACAAGCGUGCGGUGAAAGCCUGGGGCUCAACCCCGGGUCGGCCGUGCGAACUGUUUUGCUUGAGCACUGUAGAGGCAGGCGGAAUUCCGGGUGUAGCGGUGGAAUGCGUAGAGAUCCGGAAGAACACCGGUGGCGAAGGCAGCUUGCUGGGACGGCACUGACGCUGAGACGCGAAAGCGUGGGGAGCAAACAGG
RNAcentral lists this ribosomal RNA (253 nucleotides) under uncultured bacterium. RNAcentral describes it as "partial 16S ribosomal RNA". It matches the Rfam family "Bacterial small subunit ribosomal RNA", at positions 524 to 776 of the family's 1533-position model. The record is from RNAcentral.